AACCAUAGAAACCUGCGGAGUACCUGCGGAAGGAUCAUUACAGAGUUGCAAAACUCCCCAAACCAUUGUGAACCUUACCUUCAAACGUUGCUUCGGCGGGCGGGCCACAGCGCCCCCCGGGCCCCCCCAGCGGGGGCGCCCGCCGGAGGAUACCCAAACUCUUGAUACUUUAUGGCCUCUCUGAGUCUUCUGUACUGAAUAAGUCAAAACUUUCAACAACGGAUCUCAGAUCGGAAGAGC
RNAcentral lists this unclassified non-coding RNA (240 nucleotides) under soil metagenome. RNAcentral describes it as "partial contains 5.8S ribosomal RNA, internal transcribed spacer 2, and large subunit ribosomal RNA". The record is from RNAcentral.